GCAUGGCCGAAUUCUGCAUUACUCUAUCAUAGUUCUUGCAGUCAGACACUAUGCAAUAUCAACACACCUAUCCAACUCAAUAUGACAAUGAGAUCCUAAUCGUGAUCUUAUCAGUUUGAGGAAGGUGUACAAUC
Molecule: small nucleolar RNA, 134 nt
Organism: Osmerus eperlanus (European smelt)
Lineage: Eukaryota; Metazoa; Chordata; Actinopteri; Osmeriformes; Osmeridae
Product: small nucleolar RNA SNORA15
Exons: 1
Source: RefSeq, a predicted model, not a curated record